Molecule: long non-coding RNA, 1417 nt
Organism: Homo sapiens (human)
Lineage: Eukaryota; Metazoa; Chordata; Mammalia; Primates; Hominidae
Exons: 2
Source: RefSeq, a predicted model, not a curated record
GGCUGGAGUGCAAUGGUGUGAUCUCGGUUCACUGCAACCCCCUGCCUCCCGGGUUCAAGCGAUUCUCCUGCCCCAGCCUCCUGAGUAGCUGGGAUUAGAGGCAUGUGCCACCAUGCCCAGCUAAUUUUGUGUUUUUAGUAGAGACGGGGUUUUUCCUUGUAGGUCAGGCUGGCCCUGAACUCCUGACCUCAGGUGAUCCACCUGCCUCAGCCUCCCCAAGUGUUGGGAUUACAGGCAUGAGCCACUGCACCUGGCCAUUUUUUUUUAAAGAUUGCGUCUUGCUCUGUCACCCUCCUCACCACAUUAUAGCUCUGGGGGCCAAGCUGCAUCACAAUGGAAAAUCAUGGAAUCACAGGAAGAAUCCACUCAGCUUUGCAAGAUGCUGCCCAAGGGGUUGCUUGGAGUAACCAAAUUAACAUUUUUCAUUCUGCCCAGAGCAAAAUACAUGUGACAAAACAUAGACACGUGCCACUUUGCUCAGCACCCAGUAUCAAACUGCUUAUCCAAAUGUUCCAUUGGUCCCUGUUCAUCUUGCCCUGCAGUUCUCCUUGACUGAUUCAGCCCUUUGUGGUUUGCAGUCCUGUUUCUCUACAGCUUGGACCUCUUCAGUCUUUCCAUCAUAGGUUUAACUCUCUGUUGAAUGCUUCUUUGUAGCUAUCCAAAUUUACCUUAAGCUCAAAAAAUUCGAAGUGAAAGCCACAUCCUCUUCUCUUCCUUAUGUGUAUGGCAUUACUACCAUGCAGCCAGUGACCCAAAAUGGGAUUUCUUCUGGGCUUUUCUUGCUUAGAUUCAGGCUCAUCUGGUGUCAAGCCUUGUUGCUUUUGUUUCCUUGUUCUUUUAUUUUUAUUUUUAUUUUUUGAGACAGAGUUUCGCUCUUGUUGCCCAGGCUAGAGCGCAGUGGUGUGAUCUCAGCUCACUGCAGCCUCCACCUCCUGGGUUCAAGCAAUUCUCCUGCCUCAGCUCCUGAGUAGCUGGUAUUACAGGCAUGUGCCACCACGCCCGGCUAAUUUUGUAUUUUUAGUAGAGAUGGGGUUUCUCUGUUUUGAUCAGGGUGUCUCGAACUCCCGACCUCAGGUGAUCCACUCGCCUCGGCCUCCCAAAGUGCUGGGAUUACAGGCGUGAGCCACCGUGCCUGGCCUGCUUGUUGUUUUCAUCUCAUCCUGAUUUCCAAAUACAGGAGAGAAGCUGAAUUGGUGUUCACUAACAAGCACAGGAGCUUUGUUAUAUUUACAGUGUCAUUCUUGGCAAAACCUGAAGGGUGUGUUCGUGGGGUGAUGAGGUUCAGUCACCUGUGAUCUGUGCAUCUGGCCAGCACUGUGGUGACAUCCUUAGGAAUCCAUGGGGAGAGAGAAAGCAUUCAGGAGUUAGUGGGUCACGUUUGACAAGGGCCAAUAAAGAAAUAUGCAAAGACAAAAAA